Molecule: long non-coding RNA, 713 nt
Organism: Clarias gariepinus (North African catfish)
Lineage: Eukaryota; Metazoa; Chordata; Actinopteri; Siluriformes; Clariidae
Exons: 3
Source: RefSeq, a predicted model, not a curated record
AUUGCUUAUUUUACUUUAUUGUCUUAUGUAAUUUGUAAACCAUUAACCUAUGAAUUUAUGUUCUAAUAUAAUAUUUGAUAGCGAUUAUGUGGGGGGGGGGGGGGAUCCAUGGCAGGGGGGCAUUUCAGCGCAUAACACGUGUUACAAAAAAAAGUUGAGCCGCUCAUUUUCCAUUUCGUCAACCAAUCAAAGGGCUUGUGAUCAGUGUUUCUACUGUCGAUGCAUAUCGCCCUUUAAACCAACGCACGAGCGCGCAAUAAUCCUAGACAAUUCAAUCCAGCUAUACUAAUCAUCAACAACAGGGGAGUUUAAUGGAGUCCUGGUUGGGGAUAGGCGUUAUGCCUGCCAGAUUCCAGUACCUGAAGGGCCUUAGAGUAAGGCCGGACCGAGCAUACAACAUUGUGGGUGCCUGUGCUGUGCUACACAAUAUAGCAACCAUACGCCGGGAGAAACUGCCCACAGUGUUGGUGGAGGUGCAGUGGGAAGACAUACUAGCUCUUGAGGAAAGAGUGGAAGGACGGACUGUAAGGGACCUUUACAGGGACAGUUAUUUUAUGUAAAGCCACUGGUGACCAUUGAGCCCCCAACCCCCAGCUCAUGUAGUGGUGGAUAAAUAAAACACAUGCUCAAAAUGGACACUAUUUCCUUUAUUCACAUUCUUCAGAACAGAGAGCAUUUCAGAACUAGAGAUGGUCUAAUUAGUAACUUAAAAA